UAUUAAAAACAUGGGUUAUUGAUAAGAAUUUUAAGUCGGACCUGCCCAAUGAUCAAAAAUUUAAUGGCCGCGGUAAUUUGACCGUGCAAAGGUAGCAUAAUCAUUAGUUUUUUAAUUGAAAGCUUGUAUGAAUGGUUUGAUGAAAAAAUGACUGUCUCUAUUUAAAUUUAUAAGAAAUUUAUUUUUAAGUUAAAAAGCUUAAAUGUUUAUGGAAGACGAGAAGACCCUAUAGAGUUUAAUAAUAGACUUAAAUAAAUAAUUUUUAGGAUUAUAAAAAUUUAUUUGAAGUAUUAUUUAAUUGGGGUGAUUGAAAAAUUAAAAAAACUUUUUUUUUGUAUAAACAUUAAUUUAUGAAUUUUUGAUCCUAAUAUAUAUAUAUAUAGAUUAAAAGAAAAAAUUACCUUAGGGAUAACAACGUAAUUUUUUUUAGAGUUCUUAUCGAAAAAAAAGAUUGCGACCUCGAUGUUGGAUUAAAUAAAAAUAUUGGUGUAGAAGCUAAUAUAUUAGGUCUGUUCGACCUUUAAAAUUUACAUGAUCUGA
This 540-nucleotide ribosomal RNA is filed under the name Hypsophorus dromedarius. Its description in RNAcentral is "partial 16S ribosomal RNA". It matches the Rfam family "Bacterial large subunit ribosomal RNA", at positions 1805 to 2608 of the family's 2925-position model. The record is from RNAcentral. Lineage: Eukaryota; Metazoa; Arthropoda; Insecta; Coleoptera; Curculionidae.